RNAcentral lists this long non-coding RNA (268 nucleotides) under Ornithorhynchus anatinus (platypus). Its description in RNAcentral is "lncRNA (ENSOANG00000047825.1)". The record is from RNAcentral. Lineage: Eukaryota; Metazoa; Chordata; Mammalia; Monotremata; Ornithorhynchidae.
CGUGGCUGUUUCUGAUUAACCUCAGGGUCUGGUUUGUUUUGUUUGUUUUCCUUGCUCAGGCAGUUCCCAUGUGACAGGCGGAGUUGGAAGCUGUCGGUGAGGUCCCGUCGGCUGGAGUUGGACCGGUGAACCGCUCUGCACGGUCUUGCUGCCUGUGUGGUGCUGGGCUUUGAAAUUCUCAAGUGAGCAGCGGGAGAUUCAUGCAGCUCUUAUUGUGAUGGUUUGUAUGGUGUUGUUUUUAAGAGUUCAGAAUAGCCCAGCUGAUCCC